AGUGAACGCUGGCGGUAGGCCUAACACAUGCAAGUCGAACGGCAGCACAGGAGAGCUUGCUCUCUGGGUGGCGAGUGGCGGACGGGUGAGGAAUACGUCGGAAUCUACUUUUUCGUGGGGGAUAACGUAGGGAAACUUACGAUAAUACCGCAUACGAACUACGGGUGAAAGCAGGGGAUCUUCGGACCUUGCGCGAUUGAAUGAGCCGAUGUCGGAUUAGCAAGUUGGCGGGGUAAAGGCCCACCAAGGCGACGAUCCGUAGCUGGUCUGAGAGGAUGAUCAGCCACACUGGAACUGAGACACGGUCCAGACUCCUACGGGAGGCAGCAGUGGGGAAUAUUGGACAAUGGGCGCAAGCCUGAUCCAGCCAUACCGCGUGGGUGAAGAAGGCCUUCGGGUUGUAAAGCCCUUUUGUUGGGAAAGAAAUCCAGCUGGUUAAUACCCGGUUGGGAUGACGGUACCCAAAGAAUAAGCACCGGCUAACUUCGUGCCAGCCGCCGCCGUAA
RNAcentral lists this ribosomal RNA (506 nucleotides) under uncultured bacterium. RNAcentral describes it as "partial 16S ribosomal RNA". It matches the Rfam family "Bacterial small subunit ribosomal RNA", at positions 29 to 523 of the family's 1533-position model. The record is from RNAcentral.